This 446-nucleotide ribosomal RNA is filed under the name uncultured bacterium. Its description in RNAcentral is "bacterial SSU rRNA". It matches the Rfam family "Bacterial small subunit ribosomal RNA", at positions 29 to 520 of the family's 1533-position model. The record is from RNAcentral.
AACGAACGCUGGCGGCAUGCCUAACACAUGCAAGUCGAACGAACCCUUCGGGGUUAGUGGCGCACGGGUGCGUAACGCGUGGGAAUCUGCCCAAAGGUUCGGAAUAACACAGAGAAAUUUGUGCUAAUACCGGAUAAUGUCUUCGGACCAAAGAUUUAUUGCCUUUGGAUGAGCCCGCGUUGGAUUAGCUUGUUGGUGAGGUAACGGCUCACCAAGGCGACGAUCUAUAGCUGGUCUGAGAGGAUGAUCAGCCACACUGGGACUGAGACACGGCCCAGACUCCUACGGGAGGCAGCAGUGGGGAAUAUUGGACAAUGGGCGAAAGCCUGAUCCAGCAAUGCCGCGUGAGUGAUGAAGGCCUUAGGGUUGUAAAGCUCUUUUACCAGGGAUGAUAAUGACAGUACCUGGAGAAUAAGCUCCGGCUAACUCCGUGCCAGCAGCCGCGG